GGGCUCGUCUUCGAGGGAAGCCGUCUGCCUUGCAAGCAGAGGGAUCGGGUGCGACUCCCGACGUGUCCA
RNAcentral lists this transfer RNA (69 nucleotides) under Labilithrix sp. Its description in RNAcentral is "tRNA-Ala". It matches the Rfam family "tRNA". From Rfam's summary of the family: Transfer RNA (tRNA) molecules are approximately 80 nucleotides in length. The record is from RNAcentral. Lineage: Bacteria; Pseudomonadati; Myxococcota; Polyangiales; Labilitrichaceae.